CCUACGGGAGGCAGCAGUGAGGAAUAUUGGUCAAUGGACGCGAGCCUGAACCAGCCAAGUAGCGUGAAGGAUGACUGCCCUACGGGUUGUAAACUUCUUUUAUAUAGGAAUAAAGUGAUGCACGUGUGCCUUUUUGUAUGUACUUUAUGCAUAAGGAUCGGCUAACUCCGUGCCAGCAGCCGCGGUAAUACGGAGGAUCCGAGCGUUAUCCGGAUUUAUUGGGUUUAAAGGGAGAGUAGAUGGUUUGUUAAGUCAGUUGUGAAAGUUUGCGGCUCAACCGUAAAAUUGCAGUUGAAACUGGCAGUCUUGAGUACAGUAGAGGUAGGCGGAAUUCGUGGUGUAGCGGUGAAAUGCUUAGAUAUCACGAAGAACUCCGAUUGCGAAGGCAGCUCACUAAACUGCCACUGACACUGAGGCUCGAAAGUGUGGGUAUCAAACAGGAUUAGAUACCCUUGUAGUC
RNAcentral lists this ribosomal RNA (460 nucleotides) under uncultured bacterium. Its description in RNAcentral is "partial 16S ribosomal RNA". It matches the Rfam family "Bacterial small subunit ribosomal RNA", at positions 338 to 795 of the family's 1533-position model. The record is from RNAcentral.